CGGGGACUGGCCUAAUGGUAAGGCGCCUCGUUCGGGACGAGGAAUAUAGCAGUUCGACCCUGCUGUCCCCGACAA
This 75-nucleotide transfer RNA is filed under the name Candidatus Nealsonbacteria bacterium CG18_big_fil_WC_8_21_14_2_50_37_10. RNAcentral's name for it is "tRNA-Pro". It matches the Rfam family "tRNA". From Rfam's summary of the family: Transfer RNA (tRNA) molecules are approximately 80 nucleotides in length. The record is from RNAcentral. Lineage: Bacteria; Candidatus Nealsoniibacteriota.